CCUACGGGAGGCAGCAGUGAGGAAUAUUGGUCAAUGGACGAGAGUCUGAACCAGCCAAGUAGCGUGAAGGAUGACUGCCCUAUGGGUUGUAAACUUCUUUUAUAUGGGAAUAAAACGUUCCACGUGUGGGAUUUUGUAUGUACCAUAUGAAUAAGGAUCGGCUAACUCCGUGCCAGCAGCCGCGGUAAUACGGAGGAUCCGAGCGUUAUCCGGAUUUAUUGGGUUUAAAGGGAGCGUAGGUGGAUUGUUAAGUCAGUUGUGAAAGUUUGCGGCUUAACCGUAAAAUUGCAGUUGAAACUGGCAGUCUUGAGUACAGUAGAGGUGGGCGGAAUUCGUGGUGUAGCGGUGAAAUGCUUAGAUAUCACGAAGAACUCCGAUUGCGAAGGCAGUUCACUGGACUGCAACUGACACUGAGGCUCGAAAGUGUGGGUAUCAAACAGGAUUAGAUACCCUAGUAGUC
This 460-nucleotide ribosomal RNA is filed under the name uncultured bacterium. RNAcentral's name for it is "partial 16S ribosomal RNA". It matches the Rfam family "Bacterial small subunit ribosomal RNA", at positions 338 to 795 of the family's 1533-position model. The record is from RNAcentral.